This is a long non-coding RNA of Peromyscus leucopus (white-footed mouse), 1250 nucleotides long. RefSeq lists it as uncharacterized. Lineage: Eukaryota; Metazoa; Chordata; Mammalia; Rodentia; Cricetidae. The record is from RefSeq and is a predicted model, not a curated record. The transcript has 5 exons.
GGGAUUUGUAGUCUACUGACAAAGUAGGCGGAGUGCGGACGGUCCCCUUUUCUGCUAAGCAAAAGUGCUUGCAGGCAGCGGGGAGGAGCUGCAAGUGGACCGGGGUGGAGUUUUCUGAAGAGUCAGGGUGGCGUGUUUGGGAAGCCUUGUAUGGCAAGGGCAUGUGAAUUCCUGGGGAGGGCCUGGCAAGCUUUACUGCUCCGUGGAAGAUCAAAGCUAAAAGGCCCUUUUUGCAAACCUAGCAAACGUGAGACCUUCACGUGAUUGCAGAACUGACCUCACCCCGAGGUUAUUGGAAGAAUACCCACGAGAAAGGAACGACAUAGAUACAGUGGGGAUAUCCCUGGGGACUCCCUGUUUGUUUUUACGACACCACACUGCCCACUCAACUGACUUUGGGAGCAGCAGUUGAGUCAGGAGUGGAACACGGGUCUGGAGAAGGGCUUGGGUUGUACGGAGAGAUUGAAGCAUCCACAAGCAGCCAGCUGUGGUGGUCCUGCCCACGUCCUCUCGACGAGCAUGUUUCCAUAUGAAGGAAGGGCCAGAGAUCAAGACUCUCUCCUGGAGUGUGCAGCCAGUGAGAAGGCGGAGGGAGCCAGAGCAGCAAUUCAGUCAGCCUAACCCUGCUCUUGGCAAGAAGCAAGGUUGUUUUGCAGUCUGUGUGAGGAGCUUCUGGAAGAAGAGCUGAGGAACCAAGGAACCAGGGCCACCAAUGGAACGUGCUAUCUCACUCAACGGGGACUAGAGUAGACGGGUGGCCUCUCUUUGACCUAAGCCUUGGCUUAAGACAACAGGUGUGGAGGCUAGAGAGAGAUGGUUUAGAGGUUAAGGGCGAUUGCUGCUCUUGCAAAGGACAAGGGUUCAAUUCCCAACACCCAACAUGGCAGCUCACAACCCCCUGUAUCUCCAGCUACAGAGACUCCAGCCCACUCCUCUGGCCUCCAUGAGUUCCAGGCACACAAAUACACGCAGGCAAAAUAACCAUAUGCAUAAAAUAGAAAUUAAGUUUAGAAAGGAAAAAAAAAGACAACAGAUAUAGUUCAAUACAAUCUAUUGUACGGUGGCUGAUCAUGCCUAUAAUCCAAGGAGUUUAGAAGCUAAGGCAGGAGGAUUACUAUGAGUUCAGAGUGAGCCUGGGCUAAUUAGAGUUCCAGGCCACUGAUCCUUGACUACAGUAGAAGACCUGUCUCAAUCAAUCAAUAAAAAUAGUAUCAAAACAAAAACAAAAACAGCUGGACAGAGGUGGCGAA